RNAcentral lists this ribosomal RNA (608 nucleotides) under uncultured bacterium. RNAcentral describes it as "bacterial SSU rRNA". It matches the Rfam family "Bacterial small subunit ribosomal RNA", at positions 338 to 948 of the family's 1533-position model. The record is from RNAcentral.
CCUACGGGAGGCAGCAGUAGGGAAUAUUGGGCAAUGGAGGCAACUCUGACCCAGCCAUGCCGCGUGCAGGAAGAAGGCGUUAUGCGUUGUAAACUGCUUUUAUAUAGGAAGAAAUAGACCUUGCGAGGUAAGUUGACGGUACUAUAUGAAUAAGCACCGGCUAACUCCGUGCCAGCAGCCGCGGUAAUACGGAGGGUGCAAGCGUUGUCCGGAUUUAUUGGGUUUAAAGGGUGCGUAGGCGGUUUAUUAAGUCAGUGGUGAAAGACGGUCGCUCAACGAUUGCAGUGCCAUUGAUACUGGUAGACUUGAGUGGGAUUGAGGUAGCUGGAAUGGAUAGUGUAGCGGUGAAAUGCAUAGAUAUUAUCCAGAACACCAAUUGCGUAGGCAAGUUACUAAGUCUCAACUGACGCUGAGGCACGAAAGUGUGGGUAUCAAACAGGAUUAGAUACCCUGGUAGUCCACACUGUAAACGAUGAUAACUAACUGUUGGCUUUCGGGUCAGUGGUACAGAGAAAUCGUUAAGUUAUCCACCUGGGGAGUACGCCGGCAACGGUGAAACGUUAAAGGAAUUGACGGCUGAGAGNGCGAGACGACGACGAGGGAGGAGG